This 585-nucleotide ribosomal RNA is filed under the name uncultured bacterium. RNAcentral describes it as "partial 16S ribosomal RNA". It matches the Rfam family "Bacterial small subunit ribosomal RNA", at positions 355 to 932 of the family's 1533-position model. The record is from RNAcentral.
UGGGGAAUUUUGGACAAUGGGCGAAAGCCUGAUCCAGCAAUGCCGCGUGUGUGAAGAAGGCCUUCGGGUUGUAAAGCACUUUUGUCCGGAAAGAAAUCCUUGGCUCUAAUACAGUCGGGGGAUGACGGUACCGGAAGAAUAAGCACCGGCUAACUACGUGCCAGCAGCCGCGGUAAUACGUAGGGUGCAAGCGUUAAUCGGAAUUACUGGGCGUAAAGCGUGCGCAGGCGGUUUGCUAAGACCGAUGUGAAAUCCCCGGGCUCAACCUGGGAACUGCAUUGGUGACUGGCAGGCUAGAGUAUGGCAGAGGGGGGUAGAAUUCCACGUGUAGCAGUGAAAUGCGUAGAGAUGUGGAGGAAUACCGAUGGCGAAGGCAGCCCCCUGGGCCAAUACUGACGCUCAUGCACGAAAGCGUGGGGAGCAAACAGGAUUAGAUACCCUGGUAGUCCACGCCCUAAACGAUGUCAACUAGUUGUUGGGGAUUCAUUUCCUUAGUAACGUAGCUAACGCGUGAAGUUGACCGCCUGGGGGAGUACGGUCGCAAGAUUAAAACUUAAAUGAAUUGACGGGGUCAUGCUGUUUCCU